RNAcentral lists this ribosomal RNA (497 nucleotides) under uncultured bacterium. Its description in RNAcentral is "partial 16S ribosomal RNA". It matches the Rfam family "Bacterial small subunit ribosomal RNA", at positions 28 to 507 of the family's 1533-position model. The record is from RNAcentral.
GAUGAACGCUGGCGGCGUGCCUAAUACAUGCAAGUCGAGCGGACAGACGAGGAGCUUGCUGGGCUGUCGUGAGCGGCGGAGGGGAGUGUAACACGUGUAUAACCUACUUAUAAGUGGGGUAUCACUUCGGGACACGGGAUCAAAUAGCGUAGGAGAUAUUGAAGCGUGGGGUUGGAUGGUGAGAGUCGGUGGUGCGGUCUCGUAUAGCUGGAUAUGAGCCGGUUGAGCGAGUUGUGAAGGUAACGGGUUAUCAAGGGAACGAUGCGUAGCCGACCUGAGAGGGUGAUCGGCCACACUGGAACUGAGACACGGUCCAGACUCCUACGGGAGGCAGCAGUAGGGAAUCUUCCGCAAUGGGCGAAAGCCUGACGGAGCAACGCCGCGUGAGUGAUGAAGGUCUUCGGAUCGUAAAACUCUGUUAUUAGGGAAGAACAAAUGUGUAAGUAACUAUGCACGUCUUGACGGUACCUAAUAAGAAAGCCACGGCUAACUACGUG